AGAGUUUGAUCCUGGCUCAGAUUGAACGCUAGCGGCAUGCUUUACACAUGCAAGUCGAACGGUAGAGGGGGCAACCCCUUGAGAGUGGCGAACGGGUGAGUAAUAUAUCGGAACGUGCCCAGUCGUGGGGGAUAACGUAGCGAAAGUUACGCUAAUACCGCAUACGAUCUAUGGAUGAAAGCGGGGGACCGUAAGGCCUCGCGCGAUUGGAGCGGCCGAUAUCAGAUUAGGUAGUUGGUGGGGUAAAGGCUCACCAAGCCAACGAUCUGUAGCUGGUCUGAGAGGACGACCAGCCACACUGGAACUGAGACACGGUCCAGACUCCUACGGGAGGCAGCAGUGGGGAAUUUUGGACAAUGGACGCAAGUCUGAUCCAGCCAUUCCGCGUGCAGGAUGAAGGCCCUCGGGUUGUAAACUGCUUUUGUACGGAACGAAAAGGUCUCUAUUAAUACUAGGGGCUCAUGACGGUACCGUAAGAAUAAGCACCGGCUAACUACGUGCCAGCAGCCGCGGUAAUACGUAGGGUGCAAGCGUUAAUCGGAAUUACUGGGCGUAAAGCGUGCGCAGGCGGUUAUGUAAGACAGAGGUGAAAUCCCCGGGCUCAACCUGGGAACUGCCUUUGUGACUGCAUAGCUAGAGUACGGUAGAGGGGGAUGGAAUUCCGCGUGUAGCAGUGAAAUGCGUAGAUAUGCGGAGGAACACCGAUGGCGAAGGCAAUCCCCUGGACCUGUACUGACGCUCAUGCACGAAAGCGUGGGGAGCAAACAGGAUUAGAUACCCUGGUAGUCCACGCCCUAAACGAUGUCAACUGGUUGUUGGGUCUUCACUGACUCAGUAACGAAGCUAACGCGUG
This 853-nucleotide ribosomal RNA is filed under the name uncultured bacterium. RNAcentral describes it as "bacterial SSU rRNA". It matches the Rfam family "Bacterial small subunit ribosomal RNA", at positions 8 to 861 of the family's 1533-position model. The record is from RNAcentral.